UACGAAGGGGCUAGCGUUGCUCGGAAUUACUGGGCGUAAAGGGAGCGUAGGCGGACAUUUAAGUCAGGGGUGAAAUCCCGGGGCUCAACCUCGGAAUUGCCUUUGAUACUGGGUGUCUUGAGUAUGAGAGAGGUGUGUGGAACUCCGAGUGUAGAGGUGAAAUUCGUAGAUAUUCGGAAGAACACCAGUGGCGAAGGCGACGCACUGGCUCAUUACUGACGCUGAGGCUCGAAAGCGUGGGGAGCAAACAGGAUUAGAUACCCGCGUAGU
RNAcentral lists this ribosomal RNA (270 nucleotides) under uncultured prokaryote. Its description in RNAcentral is "partial 16S ribosomal RNA". It matches the Rfam family "Bacterial small subunit ribosomal RNA", at positions 524 to 794 of the family's 1533-position model. The record is from RNAcentral.